UGGGGAAUAUUGCGCAAUGGGCGAAAGCCUGACGCAGCGACGCCGCGUGAGGGACGACGGCCUUCGGGUUGUAAACCUCUUUCAGCAGGGACGAAGCGCAAGUGACGGUACCUGCAGAAGAAGCACCGGCUAACUACGUGCCAGCAGCCGCGGUAAUACGUAGGGUGCAAGCGUUGUCCGGAUUUAUUGGGCGUAAAGAGCUCGUAGGUGGCCUGCCGCGUCGGAUGUGAAAACCCGGGGCUCAACCCCGGGCCUGCAUUCGAUACGGGCAGGCUAGAGGAUGGCAGGGGAAACUGGAAUUCCUGGUGUAGCGGUGAAAUGCGCAGAUAUCAGGAGGAACACCGGUGGCGAAGGCGGGUUUCUGGGCCAUUCCUGACACUGAGGAGCGAAAGCGUGGGGAGCAAACAGG
This 409-nucleotide ribosomal RNA is filed under the name uncultured bacterium. RNAcentral's name for it is "bacterial SSU rRNA". It matches the Rfam family "Bacterial small subunit ribosomal RNA", at positions 355 to 776 of the family's 1533-position model. The record is from RNAcentral.